Molecule: ribosomal RNA, 459 nt
Filed under: uncultured bacterium
Lineage: Bacteria
Description: partial 16S ribosomal RNA
Rfam family: Bacterial small subunit ribosomal RNA
Source: RNAcentral
CCUACGGGAGGCAGCAGUGAGGAAUAUUGGUCAAUGGCCGGAAGGCUGAACCAGCCAAGCCGCGUGAAGGACGAAGGUGCCAAGCAUUGUAAGCUUCUUUUGUCAGGGGACAAAAUCAGGCUCGAGAGCCUGACCGAGGGUCCUGGACGAAAACGCAUCGGCUAACUCCUUGCCCGCAGCCGCUGUAAUCCGGAGGAUGCGCGCGUUAUCCGGGUUUAUUGGGUUUAAGGGGUGCGUAGGCGGGCUGUUAAGUCAGCGGGAAAAGCCCGGGGCGCAACCCCGGCGAGCCGUGGAAACGGGCUGUCUUGAGAUGUGGAGAGGGAGGCGGAAUGCGCAGGGUAGCGGUGAAAUGCUUAGAUAUUGCGCAGAACUCCGAUUGCGAAGGCAGCAUACAGGCGGGGAUCUGACGCUGAGGCACGAAAGCGUGGGUAUCGAACAGGAUUAGAUACCCGGGUAGUC